RNAcentral lists this transfer RNA (52 nucleotides) under Aderidae sp. GENSP01. RNAcentral describes it as "tRNA-Ser". The record is from RNAcentral. Lineage: Eukaryota; Metazoa; Arthropoda; Insecta; Coleoptera; Aderidae.
GAAAUAUUUUUUAAGCUUCUAACUUAAUAUUAAGCAUAAUGUUUAUAUUUCU